Molecule: ribosomal RNA, 292 nt
Filed under: uncultured bacterium
Lineage: Bacteria
Description: partial 16S ribosomal RNA
Source: RNAcentral
GGACUACUGGGGUAUCUAAUCCUGUUUGCUCCCCUUGCUUUCGCGCCUCAGCGUCUGUAUUAGCCCAGAAAACCGUCUUCACCACCGGUGUUCUUCCACAUAUCUACGCAUUUCACCGCUACACGUGGAAUUCCGUUUUCCCUAACUAAACUCUAGUCUGGAAGUUUCAAAUGCAGCUCCGGGGUUGAGCCCCGGAAUUUCACAUCUGACUUUCCUAACCGCCUACGCGCCCUUUACGCCCAGUAAUUCCGAUCAAUGCUUGCACCCUCCGUAUUACCGCGGCUGCUGGCAC